Anas platyrhynchos (mallard) is the source of this 696-nucleotide long non-coding RNA. RefSeq lists it as uncharacterized. The record is from RefSeq and is a predicted model, not a curated record. NCBI's taxonomy places the organism in Eukaryota, Metazoa, Chordata, Aves, Anseriformes, Anatidae.
UAAAGCGCAACAAACCUGAUUUUGCACGUAUGCAUAUAUCCUGCUAUACCUGCUGAUCGUGUGCUCAGUUCCCUGAUGACUGCAUUUCGGUAGGGAAGCACCCAAAUGCAGGGUAAAACACGACUUUAUCUGUGUUUCCUCUUCUAACUGCCCUAUGUCAGGGUUCCCUGAUGCAGGUUUGGGAUGCCCAGAGAAGAAAACGGAGCAAAGAGGCGAGCGCUGCCACAGCUCCGGCCCGGGUAGGCCCUGCCCGGCCCCGCCGAGCCCGGGGCGGCCUCGGGUCGGUGCCCCCGGCUGGGGGGACCCCCGGGGAAGCCCGACCCGGCCGAGGGGCGCCGUGGAGGCCCCGCUGCCUGCCGAGGAGCUGCCGCCCGGCCCCGCCGCGCAGCCACAGCGCGGCCCUGGAGGGGCGGAGGCGCUGCCGGAGGUGCCUGGGGGGGAGCGGGCGGGCGCCGAGGGAGCGCAGGGACGGAGACCGCAGCUCGUCCCCGGCUCUGUCCGUGAAAUCCGUGCCAUGCAGCAGCGUUGGGAGCGCCGCCGUGAACCAGCCACCCAGCCCGCUGCAUUUAGGCUGGUGCCUGCAUCGUCACAGGAGUGCCAUGAAGGUGUACAUGUGGGGAGAGCCUCGGCGGACUGAACUUCAGGAUCACACUUGAAAGCAGUGGAACGAGGGGUGUCCGUAUGAGCACGUUAACG